Molecule: ribosomal RNA, 530 nt
Filed under: uncultured bacterium
Lineage: Bacteria
Description: bacterial SSU rRNA
Rfam family: Bacterial small subunit ribosomal RNA
Source: RNAcentral
AAUAGAUACCCGGGUAGUCCAUGCCGUAAACGUUGGGCACUAGGUGUGGGGCUCAUUCCACGAGUUCCGUGCCGCAGCAAACGCAUUAAGUGCCCCGCCUGGGGAGUACGGCCGCAAGGCUAAAACUCAAAGGAAUUGACGGGGGCCCGCACAAGCGGCGGAGCAUGCGGAUUAAUUCGAUGCAACGCGAAGAACCUUACCAAGGCUUGACAUGCACGGGAAGCCACCAGAGGUGGUGGUCUCUUUGGACACUCGUGCACAGGUGGUGCAUGGUUGUCGUCAGCUCGUGUCGUGAGAUGUUGGGUUAAGUCCCGCAACGAGCGCAACCCUCGUCCCAUGUUGCCAGCGGGUUAUGCCGGGGACUCAUGGGAGACUGCCGGGGUCAACUCGGAGGAAGGUGGGGAUGACGUCAAAUCAUCAUGCCCCUUAUGUCUUGGGCUUCACGCAUGCUACAAUGGCCGGUACAAAGGGCUGCGAUACCGUAAGGUGGAGCGAAUCCCGAAAAAGCCGGUCUCAGUUCGGAUUGGGGU